CAUACGACCGUACCGCAAACCGACACUGGUGCGCGAGAUGAGUAUUCUAAGGCGCUUGAGAGAACUCAGGAGAAGGAACUCGGCAAAUUGACACCGUAACUUCGGAAGAAGGUGUGCCCUAUUAGUGUGUAGUGAACAACGAAGCAUGAAUGGGUUGCAAAAAAUCGGUGGCUGCGACUGUUUAUUAAAAACACAGCACUCUGCAAACACGAAAGUGGACGUAUAGGGUGUGACGCCUGCCCGGUGCUGGAAGAUUAAAUGAUGGGGUGCAAGCUCUUGAUUGAAGUCCCAGUAAACGGCGGCCGUAACGAUAACGGUCCUAAGGUAGCGAAAUUCCUUGUCGGGUAAGUUCCGACCUGCACGAAUGGCGUAACGAUGGCCACACUGUCUCCUCCUGAGACUCAGCGAAGUUGAAAUGUUUGUGAUGAUGCAAUCUCCCCGCGGAAAGACGGAAAGACCCCAUGAACCUUUACUGUAGCUUUGUAUUGGACUUUGAACAGAUCUGUGUAGGAUAGGUGGGAGGCUUUGAAGCAGGGUCGCUAGAUCUUGUGGAGCCAACGUUGAAAUACCACCCUGGUGUGUUUGAGGUUCUAACCUAGGUCCAUUAUCUGGAUCGGGGACAGUGCAUGGUAGGCAGUUUGACUGGGGCGGUCUCCUCCCAAAGCGUAACGGAGGAGUUUGAAGGUACGCUAGCUACGGUCGGACAUCGUGACGAUAGUGCAAUGGCAUAAGCGUGCUUAACUGCGAGACUGACAAGUCGAGCAGAUGCGAAAGCAGGACAUAGUGAUCCGGUGGUUCUGUAUGGAAGGGCCAUCGCUCAACGGAUAAAAGGUACUCUGGGGAUAACAGGCUGAUACCGCCCAAGAGUUCAUAUCGACGGCGGUGUUUGGCACCUCGAUGUCGGCUCAUCUCAUCCUGGGGCUGUAGCCGGUCCCAAGGGUAUGGCUGUUCGCCAUUUAAAGAGGUACGUGAGCUGGGUUUAAAACGUCGUGAGACAGUUUGGUCCCUAUCUUCCGUGGGCGCUGCAGAUUUGAGGAAGCCUGCUCCUAGUACGAGAGGACCGGAGUGGACACACCUCUGGUGUAUCGGUUGUCACGCCAGUGGCAUUGCCGAGUAGCUAAGUGUGGAAGAGAUAACCGCUGAAAGCAUCUAAGCGGGAAACUCGUUUCAAGAUGAGAUCUGCCGGGGCCUCGAGCCCCCUAAAGAGUCGUUCAAGACCAGGACGUUGAUAGGUCAGGUGUGGAAGCG
Molecule: ribosomal RNA, 1248 nt
Filed under: metagenome
Description: bacterial LSU rRNA
Rfam family: Bacterial large subunit ribosomal RNA
Source: RNAcentral